UCUUUUUCUCCCUCUUUCCAAGACAAACUAGAUAAGAUGCAGAUUCGAUCAGGCGAAGAUGUGAGUGACCUCAACUAUGAUUAUGACAAUAAACAGUGCGUAGCACAUGGUGGAAAUUGGUGGAUGGGAUGGUGGACAGCGGAUGGGAUAAUGAUGCAGCGGCUGCGUGACUAAUGUGAACAGAACUCGAAACUCUAAAGGAACUAGACACUAAGACCAGCAACUCGACACGGCGAUGCAACCGAUAAUUCAAUAAUGCAAACAAUGAAAAGAAAAUUGCAAAGGCUCAGUCUGGCUAGGACAAAGGAUGAAUAGAUCUAACUUUUGUUUUGUGGCUUUUUCUUGGACAAUAGGUAAGAAAAUAAAUCUAAUCUAGGAAAAACUGGAAAUUCUCACCGAGCAACCUGAAAACUGAUACCACUUGAUAGAGGCGAGGGUGUCCCGAUCUUUCGAUGAGAUGAUAACUAUCGAUUUGGUGGAGACGACUUUGAUGAUCCGACUACAAACGUGCACGACGUUGCGCCUUAGCAAUCGCUAAACCAAUCUCCUGAGGUUACUGACGAUGCCGGAAGCACAGUCAGCCUGACCACGAAGGUGUAUUCCUGCAAGCAAUCGAAGAACGAGCAAGAAUAUGAUAAAGCAAUCUGAAUAUUGCAAAUAUAUAUGAGGUAUUGAUAAUGGUGGGGAUCCGUAAGCGGUCUUGGUCUGGUCGUUGGACACAAACGAAGUACACGAAGUUGUAAUGGCUAACUUUUAACUAAACAAAUCCCCAGGAAAAGCUACUAGAUGGAUCUACUUAUAUAGGAGCAAGGGGUGGCGGCCAAGGAGGUGGGAGGACGUCCCAAGGCAGCCUAAAACUAAAUCUAGGUCGUACAAGGCCAUGGGCCCAAGUGGAGGUGAUGUAACACCUUUGGACUUGUAGUUUGACUCGGAUUCUGCUGCAGCAUCAGAUUGUUUUGUCCACAACUCAACGCUCCGGACGAAUUUGAAGGUGAUUCCAAUUGGGUUGGAAAGUGCACGAAAUCUAGUUUCCAAUGCAAAAAGAAUCACCCAAUUCGGAGUCCGUAUGGAAAACUUGUGUGCAUUUUGAGUCAGGUAUGUCUGUGCAGUCCGAAUCUGAAUCCAGAACGUGAGAGACUUGGACUCUAUCUUUUCUUGGGCCAAAAGUGACGUGAGAGAACUUUUUGGACAGCAAAUAAACAUCUCUUUCUUCCUUAUCUUCAUAUGUGGAUUGUACAAAUGUCCCAUACACCUGCAAUUAGACAAAACACAAAAGUGUGUGAAGUAUUUUUGUUCUGGAUAACAUAAAUAGAUUAUUGAAUAGUUUGCACUAGAAAUCACCUGACAAAUAUGCAUAUAUGCAAUAUUUUUGGUCAUAUCCAAGGUAGUCAUGUCCUCAUCAGAUGGCAAACCUGUUGCAUACUUUUCUGAAAAAUUGAGUGGGCCUAGUCUGAAUUAUUCUACUUAUGAUAAAGAAUUAUAUGCUCUUGUUCGGACUUUAGAAACAUGGCAACAUUAUUUAUGGCCCAAAGAAUUUGUUAUACAUUCUGAUCAUGAAUCUUUGAAACAUAUUAAAAGUCAAGCUAAACUGAAUCGUAGACAUGCUAAAUGGGUUGAAUUCAUUGAGACUUUCCCUUAUGUCAUUAAACACAAGAAGGGAAAAGAAAAUGUUAUUGCUGAUGCAUUGUCUCGUCGCUAUACUAUGCUUUCACAACUUGACUUCAAAAUAUUUGGUUUGGAGACCAUCAAAGAUCAAUAUGUGCAUGAUGCUGAUUUUAAAGAUGUAAUGCAGAAUUGUAAAGAAGGAAGAAUGUGGAACAAGUUUGUCGUUAACGAUGGAUUUGUGUUUCGUGCUAACAAGCUAUGCAUUCCAGCUAGCUCCGUUCGUCUUUUGUUGUUGCAGGAAGCGCAUGGAGGAGGAUUAAUGGGACAUUUUGGCCUGAAGAAGACGGAGGACGUACUUGCUACACAUUUCUUUUGGCCAAAGAUGAGACGGGAUGUUGAGCGUUUUAUUGCUCGAUGCACUACAUGUCAAAAAGCUAAGUCACGACUCAAUCCUCAUGGUUUAUAUAUGCCUUUGCCUGUACCUAGUGUUCCUUGGGAGGAUAUAUCUAUGGACUUUGUUUUAGGUUUACCUCGAACAAAGAAGGGGAGGGAUAGCAUAUUUGUUGUCGUGGAUAGAUUCUCGAAAAUGGCACACUUUAUACCAUGUCAUAAAAGCGAUGAUGCUGUUAAUGUUGCUGAUUUGUUCUUUCGUGAAAUUAUUCGCUUGCAUGGUGUGCCAAAUACUAUUGUUUCAGAUCGUGAUACUAAAUUUCUUAGCCACUUUUGGAGAUGUUUAUGGGCUAAGUUGGGGACUAAACUGCUUUUUAGUACUACUUGUCACCCCCAAACUGAUGGACAAACUGUAGUAGUCAAUAGAACGUUGUCUACUAUGCUUAGGGCUGUUUUGAAGAAUAAUAAGAAAAUGUGGGAGGAAUGCUUGCCUCAUAUUGAAUUUGCUUAUAAUCGUUCAUUGCAUUCUACUACUAAGAUGUGCCCUUUUGAAGUUGUGUAUGGUUUCCUACCUCGUGCACCUAUUGAUUUGUUGCCUCUUCCAUCUUCGGAGAAGGUUAAUUUUGAUGCUAAACAACGUGCUGAAUUGAUUUUAAAAAUGCAUGAGUUAACUAAGGAAAACAUUGAGCGUAUGAAUGCUAAAUAUAAACUUGCUGGAGAUAAGGGUAGAAAACAUGUUGUGUUUGCACCUGGAGAUCUUGUUUGGUUACAUUUGCGUCAGGAUAGAUUUCCUGAUUUGCGCAAAUCAAAGCUAAUGCCACGUGCUGAUGGUCCCUUUAAGGUGUUAGAGAAAAUAAAUGAUAAUGCAUAUAAACUUGAGUUGCCUGCAGAUUUUGGGGUUAGUCCCACUUUUAACAUUGCAGAUUUGAAGCCUUAUUUGGGUGAGCAAGAUGAACUUCCGUCGAGGACGACUUCAUUUCAAGAAGGGGAGGAUGAUGAGGACAUCAAUAAAUUUGUUACACCCACAACCCCUACUGCUAUACAUACUGGACCAAUUACUAGAGCUCGUGCAUGCCAACUAAAUUACCAGGUACUUUCGUUUCUUGGUAAUGAUUCUAAUGUUCAUGAGAAUAUGAUGCUUCCUAAAUUGGAUACAUUUGUUUUGCUUACAAAUGAAGGGCCUAGCUUGGAGAAGGAUGAACAUUGGAGCAAGAACAAGCAUGGAGAUGAUGGCGUGCGCAAGGGGAGCAAGAACGGAGUUACAAGUGAUGAUUUCAGGACUUUGAAGCCACCAUAAUGGGUGCAUGAAGCCUUGGACGAAAUAUACAAGAUGCCACUUCCUAAAUUUCGUCCCGAGGCUAUUUUAGGUGCUGCGUCACCUUAUUAUUGGGCCAGGCCCAUGUAAUUUCGAAAUACAUAAGUAUAGGCUAUUUUUAGAGUCCGUAUGUGUGGGGAAACAAGAGAUAGGGUUGAUUUCGGACCCCUCCACCAAGGGCCACGAAAUUCCCCCCUCUUCCUCCAUAUAUACAGCCCUUAGGGCAUCGUUUAGACUUUGGGUUUUGUUUAGAUUAAAAGUUCGCCAUAGCUGCAACUUCGCGUACUUCGUUUGUGUUCAACGACCAGACAAAGGCGUCACAGAACCCCAUCUUGAUCAAUAAAGCUUUCAUCUUAUAUUCGCAAUAUCCAGAUUGCAAUCUUAGUUUCUUGCUUGUUCUUCAUUUGCUCGCAGGAAACAGACCCUCGUGGUCAGGUUGAUCGUGCUCCGGCGUGGUCAAUAACCUCUCGGAGUUGGUUUAGCGAUUGCUAAGGCGCGACGUCCUCGCACAUUCGUAGUCGGAUCGUCAAAGUCGACUUCCACCAAAGCGAAAUCCACCAUCUCAUCGAAAGACGGGACACCUUUGCCUCUAUCAACACAGCUUGUUUCAAUUUUUUAGGCCAGUUUUAGAAUUCUUUGACUCCUCAUAUCAACUCGGAAUUGAGUGAUUCUUUUUGCAUUGGAAAGCUUGAGUUAGUAGCAUUCUUUGAAAGAAUUUAUCAAAAAAUUGUCUCAAACUUUUCAUGAUGAGGACAUGACUACCUUGGAUAUGACCAAAAAUAUUGCAUAUAUGCAUAUUUGGCAGGUGAUUUCUAGUGCAAACUAUUCAAUAAUCUAUUUAUGUUAUCCAGAACAAAAAUACUUCACACACUUUUGUGUUUUGUCUAAUUGCAGGUGUAUAAGACAUUUGUACAAUCCACAUAUGAAGAUAAGGAAGAAAGAGAUGUUUAUUUGCUGUCCAAAAAGUUCUCUCACGUCACUUUUGGCCCAAGAGAAGAUAGAGUCCAGGUCUCUCACGUUCUGGAUUCAGAUUCGGACUGCACAGACACACCUGACUCAAAACGCACACAAGUUUUUAAUACGGACUCCGAAUUGGGUCAUUCUUUUUUUUGUUGGAAACUAGAUUUCGUGCACUUUCCAACCCAAUUGGAAUCACCUUCAAAUUCUUCCGGAGCGUUGAGUUGUGGACGAAACAAUCUGAUGCUGCAGCAGAAUCCGAGUCAAACUACAAGUCCAAAGGUGUUACAUCACCUCCACUUGGGCCCGUUGGCCUUGUACGACCUAGAUUUAGUUUUAGGCUGCCUUGGGACGUCCUCCCACCUCCUUGGCCGCCACCCCUUGCUCCUAUAUAAGUAGAUCCAUCUAGUAGCUUUUUCCUGGGGAUUUGUUUAGUUAAAAGUUAGCCAUUGCAACUUCGUGUACUUCGUUUGUGUCCAACGACCAGACCAAGACCGCUUCCGGAUCCCCACCUUUAUCAAUACUUCAUCUAUAUUCGCAAUAUUCAGAUUGCUUUAUCAUAUUCUUGCUUGUUCUUCGAUUGCUUGCAGGAAUAGACCUUCGUGGUCAGGUUGAUUGUGCUUCGGCGUGGUCAAUAACCUCUCGGAGUUGGUUUAGCGAUUGCUAAGGCGCAACGUCGUGCACGUUUGUAGUCGGAUCGUCAAAGUCAUCUUCACCAAAUCGAUAGUUAUCAUCUCAUCGAAAGAUCGGGACACCCCCGCCUCUAUCAAGUGGUAUCAGUUUUCAGGUUGCUCGGUGAGAAUUUCCAGUUUUUCCUAGAUUAGAUUUAUUUUCUUACCUAUUGUCCAAGAAAAAGCCACAAAACAAAAGUUAGAUCUAUUCAUCCUUUGUCCUAGCCAGACUGAGCCUUUGCAAUUUUCUUUUCAUUGUUUGCAUUAUUGAAUUAUCGGUUGCAUCGCCGUGUCGAGUUGCUGGUCUUAGUGUCUAGUUCCUUUAGAGUUUCGAGUUCUGUUCACAUUAGUCACGCAGCCGCUGCAUCAUUAUCCCAUCCGCUGUCCACCAUCCCAUCCACCAAUUUNNNNNNNNNNNNNNNNNNNNNNNNNNNNNNNNNNNNNNNNNNNNNNNNNNNNNNNNNNNNNNNNNNNNNNNNNNNNNNNNNNNNNNNNNNNNNNNNNNNNNNNNNNNNNNNNNNNNNNNNNNNNNNNNNNNNNNNNNNNNNNNNNNNNNNNNNNNNNNNNNNNNNNNNNNNNNNNNNNNNNNNNNNNNNNNNNNNNNNNNNNNNNNNNNNNNNNNNNNNNNNNNNNNNNNNNNNNNNNNNNNNNNNNNNNNNNNNNNNNNNNNNNNNNNNNNNNNNNNNNNNNNNNNNNNNNNNNNNNNNNNNNNNNNNNNNNNNNNNNNNNNNNNNNNNNNNNNNNNNNNNNNNNNNNNNNNNNNNNNNNNNNNNNNNNNNNNNNNNNNNNNNNNNNNNNNNNNNNNNNNNNNNNNNNNNNNNNNNNNNNNNNNNNNNNNNNNNNNNNNNNNNNNNNNNNNNNNNNNNNNNNNNNNNNNNNNNNNNNNNNNNNNNNNNNNNNNNNNNNNNNNNNNNNNNNNNNNNNNNNNNNNNNNNNNNNNNNNNNNNNNNNNNNNNNNNNNNNNNNNNNNNNNNNNNNNNNNNNNNNNNNNNNNNNNNNNNNNNNNNNNNNNNNNNNNNNNNNNNNNNNNNNNNNNNNNNNNNNNNNNNNNNNNNNNNNNNNNNNNNNNNNNNNNNNNNNNNNNNNNNNNNNNNNNNNNNNNNNNNNNNNNNNNAAAAAAAAUUGGAUCUAUCUAGAAUCAAUCUCGUACCUGAAUUCGGAUUGGAAUCUGUUUUGCGCACUGUUCAGUAAAAUAGGUGUAUCUUCCUCAUACGAAGUCCGUUUUGGCUCCGUGAGUACUCAAAUUGAAGAUAGCGACGAGCCGCAUCUAAAUAGCUGCAGAAGCUAGUUCAAUAUUUGACACCUCAAAAUCGGAUCCUAAAUAGGUCUUUUUGCCCUCCGAAGUUCGUGAACACAGCUUGUUCCAAUUUUUAGGCCAGUUUUAGAAUUCUUUGACUCCUCAUAUCAACUCGGAAUUGAGUGAUUCUUUUUGCAUUGGAAAGCUUGAGUUAGUAGCAUUCUUUGAAAGAAUUUAUCAGAAAAUUGUCUCAAACUUUUCAAGAGGAAAGUUGGAGAGAGAGUUGUUGUAUAUCCUGCUUGGCAGUUGUUUUUCAUCAUUAUCUUCACUGCCGUUGUGAUCUUCACUUAUAUCUUGCUGUCAAGAGCUACUUAGUAUCCUUCAUUGAUGCUAGUUGUGCUACGCCGUGACCUCAUUAGUAUUCUACGCUCGCGUCUCUAGUCCGGUCCAGCCUAGGACCAGCACAGUACCGUCGUUGAGCGUUUAUUCAACAUUGCAUCUUUGAAUUGAUUAUUGCUAAUCUUUUGCUACCAUAUAUAGCCAACCCAGCUCCACAUAUUUCUACACCGUUUAUACGUACGCUCCCCUGGCAAUCGCUUUACUCAAUAUUCGGAGUUACUUGACACCGCUGGUUGCCGAUCACCGCCUGCUGCAUGGUAAGAACUUGUAAGACAUUGAUAUUUGCUUUACUGUGAGCGUUUUACCACCACAUCCUAGUAGUUAUAGGAACAUUAUUUUUGGGUUUUGUUUCUUGUUCUACUAAUCAUGACAGGAUCCAGAGUCAAUUCAUGGGCUUUGUCGAUCGCGGGAGACGUGCCACCACCUUUGCAAAUACCACAACCGCCACGAGAGGUGCACAAACAUCCAAAUGCACAUGAUCAAGUUAAUGUAUCUAUACCACCAUUUAAUGGCCGUUUUAAACCUGCUUUAUAUAUUGAAUGGGAGUUCGACAUAAAAAAUAUAUUUGCUUCCCAUAAUUUCGAUGAACAUAAAAAGGUUAAGGUUGCAGUUGGUUCUUUCACUGGUUAUGCUUUGGUUUGGUGGAGUGAAUAUUGUCGGUUACACCCUGAUUAUAUACCUACUACUUGGGAUGAUUUGAAACUUGCCAUGCGACAUACUUUCGUCCCUGCUUAUUAUACUCGUGACAUGAUUAAGAAGUUGCAACACUUAAAACAAGGUAGUGAAACUGUAACAAAAUAUUAUGAUGAUUUACAAACUACCUUGUUGCAUUCCUCUUUAGAAGAAAGUGAAGAUGAUUUUAUGGAUAGAUUUUGGGGAGGAUUAAACUGUGAUAUUCAAGAGAUACUAAUUCAUGAAGAGUGUUAUCCUAUGGACCAUUUGUUUCAUCUUGCUUGCAAAGAUGAACAGGAAAUAAAACGACGUGUUGGCCACGAGGAGAACAAGCGCACGGUGCACAUUCCAAGAGUUGAUAUGAUUGUUCAUUCAACUACUAGGCAUACUAUGACAACCACAUCCGUUGUUGUCAGGACUACAUCACCUCCACCAUGUGACACAUCGCCCCCGAGAGUGGCUACAUCAUCUGAGUUGAUCAUAAGAGGUAAUGACAAAGGUACUGAUCUUCCAUCUCUACAUGAGAAUGAUGAAUGCCUUAUCAAUUUGAAUACACCAUCUGAUGAGCUACCCACUACUUUGAUCACACCACCUAUUUUAGAGGACUACGUUGAUAAUUUGACUUUGCCAUGUGAUCAAACAACUGAAAUACCAACAAUUUUGAGUGCACCCAUUAAAUUAACUAUUGAUGCAAAAUAACCAAUGUUUAAUCAUUUUGAUAUGACCUCUAAUCUUGGUGAUGAUUCUGUGUUGAAUGACUUAUUGCAUGUUUGCUUAUUUAAGCAUGUUGUAGCAUGUAAAUUUGAUGCAAGUAAGGUUUAUUCACCAAUGUUGGGAUGGUUUAAUGAUGAACAUUGUCAAUCUUUUGAAAUGAAUAAGAGCUUCACUUAUAUGUCCAAACUGAGUUGCAAUAUUUUCAUGCCUUCUACUUCUUGUGCUAAUUUUUUGGCUUUAGAUUUUAUGAACUAUGCAAGUUACUCAUCUAUUCAUGUGUCAUAUAUGCAAAAAUCAAGGGAAGUAAAAAUGAAUGACAUAUACAUAUACAACAUGUACACCUUGUCUCUUUUGUUAGCCACAUUUCAGAUUAAGCAACGCGGAGGACGGCUUUAUUUUCAAGAAGGGGAGGAUGAUGAGGACAUGACUACCUUGGAUAUGACCAAAAAUAUUGCAUAUAUGCAUAUUUGUCAGGUGAUUUCUAGUGCAAACUAUUCAAUAAUCUAUUUAUGUUAUCCAGAACAAAAAUACUUCACACACUUUUGUGUUUUGUCUAAUUGCAGGUGUAUGGGACAUUUGUACAAUCCACAUAUGAAGAUAAGGAAUAAAGAGAUGUUUAUUUGCUGUCCAAAAAGUUCUCUCACGUCACUUUUGGCCCAAGAGAAGAUAGAGUCCAGGUCUCUCACGUUCUGGAUUCAGAUUCGGACUACACAGACACACCUGACUCAAAACACACACAAGUUUUUAAUACAGACUCCGAAUUGGGUGAUUCUUUUUUGUUUGGAAACUAGAUUUCGUGCACUUUCCAACCCAAUUGGAAUCACCUUCAAAUUCGUCCGGAGCGUUGAGUUGUGGACGAAACAAUCUGAUGCUGCAGCAGAAUCCGAGUCAAACUACAAGUCCAAAGGUGUUACAUCACCUCCACUUGGGCCCAUUGGCCUUGUACGACCUAGAUUUAGUUUUAGGCUGCCUUGGGACGUCCUCCCACCUCCUUGGCCGCCACCCCUUGCUCCUAUAUAAGUAGAUCCAUCUAGUAGCUUUUCCUUGGGAUUUGUUUAGUUAAAAGUUAGCCAUUGCAACUUCGUGUACUUUGUUUGUGUCCAACGACCAGACCAAGACCGUUUACGGAUCCCCACCUUUAUCAAUACUUCAUCUAUAUUCGCAAUAUUCAGAUUGCUUUAUCAUAUUCUUGCUUGUUCUUCGAUUGCUUGCAGGAAUAGACCUUCGUGGUCAGGUUGAUUGUGCUCUGGCGUGGUCAAUAACCUCUCGGAGUUGGUUUAGCGAUUGCUAAGGCGCAACGUCGUGCACGUUUGUAGUCGAAUCGUCAAAGUCGUCUCCACCAAAUCGAUAGUUAUCAUCUCAUCGAAAGAUCGGGACACCCCCGCCUCUAUCAAGUGGUAUCAGUUUUCAGGUUGCUCGGUGAGAAUUUCCAGUUUUUCCUAGAUUAGAUUUAUUUUCUUACCUAUUGUCCAAGAAAAAGCCACAAAACAAAAGUUAGAUCUAUUCAUCCUUUGUCCUAGCCAGACUGAGCCUUUGCAAUUUUCUUUUCAUUGUUUGCAUUAUUGAAUUAUCGGUUGCAUCGCCGUGUCGAGUUGCUGGUCUUAGUGUCUAGUUCCUUUAGAGUUUCGAGUUCUGUUCACAUUAGUCACGCAGCCGCUGCAUCAUUAUCCCAUCCGCUGUCCACCAUCCCAUCCACCAAUUUCCACCAUGUGCUACGCACUGUUUAUUGUCAUAAUCAUAGUUGAGGUCACUCACAUCUUCGCCUGAUCGAAUCUGCAUCUUAUCUAGUUUGUCUUGGAAAGAGGGAGAAAAAGAAUAUAAAGAAAAAAAAGAGAGAAAAAAGGAAAGAAAAAAAAGAAAAAGAGGGAGAAGAAAAAGAAAAAAAAGCGUGAGAAAAAAAAGAGAGAAGAAAAAAAAUUGGAUCUAUCUAGAAUCAAUCUCGUACCUGAAUUCGGAUUGGAAUCUGUUUUGCGCACUGUUCAGUAAAAUAGGUGUAUCUUCCUCAUACGAAGUCCGUUUUGGCUCCGUGAGUACUCAAAUUGAAGAUAGCGACGAGCCGCAUCUAAAUAGCUGCAGAAGCUAGUUCAAUAUUUGACACCUCAAAAUCGGAUCCUAAAUAGGUCUUUUUGCCCUCCGAAGUUCGUGAACACAGCUUGUUCCAAUUUUUAGGCCAGUUUUAGAAUUCUUUGACUCCUCAUAUCAACUCGGAAUUGAGUGAUUCUUUUUGCAUUGGAAAGCUUGAGUUAGUAGCAUUCUUUGAAAGAAUUUAUCAGAAAAUUGUCUCAAACUUUUCAAGAGGAAAGUUGGAGAGAGAGUUGUUGUAUAUCCUGCUUGGCAGUUGUUUUUCAUCAUUAUCUUCACUGCCGUUGUGAUCUUCACUUAUAUCUUGCUGUCAAGAGCUACUUAGUAUCCUUCAUUGAUGCUAGUUGUGCUACGCCGUGACCUCAUUAGUAUUCUACGCUCGCGUCUCUAGUCCGGUCCAGCCUAGGACCAGCACAGUACCGUCGUUGAGCGUUUAUUCAACAUUGCAUCUUUGAAUUGAUUAUUGCUAAUCUUUUGCUACCAUAUAUAGCCAACCCAGCUCCACAUAUUUCUACACCGUUUAUACGUACGCUCCCCUGGCAAUCGCUUUACUCAAUAUUCGGAGUUACUUGACACCGCUGGUUGCCGAUCACCGCCUGCUGCAUGGUAAGAACUUGUAAGACAUUGAUAUUUGCUUUACUGUGAGCGUUUUACCACCACAUCCUAGUAGUUAUAGGAACAUUAUUUUUGGGUUUUGUUUCUUGUUCUACUAAUCAUGACAGGAUCCAGAGUCAAUUCAUGGGCUUUGUCGAUCGCGGGAGACGUGCCACCACCUUUGCAAAUACCACAACCGCCACGAGAGGUGCACAAACAUCCAAAUGCACAUGAUCAAGUUAAUGUAUCUAUACCACCAUUUAAUGGCCGUUUUAAACCUGCUUUAUAUAUUGAAUGGGAGUUCGACAUAAAAAAUAUAUUUGCUUCCCAUAAUUUCGAUGAACAUAAAAAGGUUAAGGUUGCAGUUGGUUCUUUCACUGGUUAUGCUUUGGUUUGGUGGAGUGAAUAUUGUCGGUUACACCCUGAUUAUAUACCUACUACUUGGGAUGAUUUGAAACUUGCCAUGCGACAUACUUUCGUCCCUGCUUAUUAUACUCGUGACAUGAUUAAGAAGUUGCAACACUUAAAACAAGGUAGUGAAACUGUAACAAAAUAUUAUGAUGAUUUACAAACUACCUUGUUGCAUUCCUCUUUAGAAGAAAGUGAAGAUGAUUUUAUGGAUAGAUUUUGGGGAGGAUUAAACUGUGAUAUUCAAGAGAUACUAAUUCAUGAAGAGUGUUAUCCUAUGGACCAUUUGUUUCAUCUUGCUUGCAAAGAUGAACAGGAAAUAAAACGACGUGUUGGCCACGAGGAGAACAAGCGCACGGUGCACAUUCCAAGAGUUGAUAUGAUUGUUCAUUCAACUACUAGGCAUACUAUGACAACCACAUCCGUUGUUGUCAGGACUACAUCACCUCCACCAUGUGACACAUCGCCCCCGAGAGUGGCUACAUCAUCUGAGUUGAUCAUAAGAGGUAAUGACAAAGGUACUGAUCUUCCAUCUCUACAUGAGAAUGAUGAAUGCCUUAUCAAUUUGAAUACACCAUCUGAUGAGCUACCCACUACUUUGAUCACACCACCUAUUUUAGAGGACUACGUUGAUAAUUUGACUUUGCCAUGUGAUCAAACAACUGAAAUACCAACAAUUUUGAGUGCACCCAUUAAAUUAACUAUUGAUGCAAAAUAACCAAUGUUUAAUCAUUUUGAUAUGACCUCUAAUCUUGGUGAUGAUUCUGUGUUGAAUGACUUAUUGCAUGUUUGCUUAUUUAAGCAUGUUGUAGCAUGUAAAUUUGAUGCAAGUAAGGUUUAUUCACCAAUGUUGGGAUGGUUUAAUGAUGAACAUUGUCAAUCUUUUGAAAUGAAUAAGAGCUUCACUUAUAUGUCCAAACUGAGUUGCAAUAUUUUCAUGCCUUCUACUUCUUGUGCUAAUUUUUUGGCUUUAGAUUUUAUGAACUAUGCAAGUUACUCAUCUAUUCAUGUGUCAUAUAUGCAAAAAUCAAGGGAAGUAAAAAUGAAUGACAUAUACAUAUACAACAUGUACACCUUGUCUCUUUUGUUAGCCACAUUUCAGAUUAAGCAACGCGGAGGACGGCUUUAUUUUCAAGAAGGGGAGGAUGAUGAGGACAUGACUACCUUGGAUAUGACCAAAAAUAUUGCAUAUAUGCAUAUUUGUCAGGUGAUUUCUAGUGCAAACUAUUCAAUAAUCUAUUUAUGUUAUCCAGAACAAAAAUACUUCACACACUUUUGUGUUUUGUCUAAUUGCAGGUGUAUGGGACAUUUGUACAAUCCACAUAUGAAGAUAAGGAAUAAAGAGAUGUUUAUUUGCUGUCCAAAAAGUUCUCUCACGUCACUUUUGGCCCAAGAGAAGAUAGAGUCCAGGUCUCUCACGUUCUGGAUUCAGAUUCGGACUACACAGACACACCUGACUCAAAACACACACAAGUUUUUAAUACGGACUCCGAAUUGGGUGAUUCUUUUUUGUUUGGAAACUAGAUUUCGUGCACUUUCCAACCCAAUUGGAAUCACCUUCAAAUUCGUCCGGAGCGUUGAGUUGUGGACGAAACAAUCUGAUGCUGCAGCAGAAUCCGAGUCAAACUACAAGUCCAAAGGUGUUACAUCACCUCCACUUGGGCCCAUUGGCCUUGUACGACCUAGAUUUAGUUUUAGGCUGCCUUGGGACAUCCUCCCACCUCCUUGGCCGCCACCCCUUGCUCCUAUAUAAGUAGAUCUAUCUAGUAGCUUUUCCUUGGGAUUUGUUUAGUUAAAAGUUAGCCAUUGCAACUUCGUGUACUUUGUUUGUGUCCAACGACCAGACCAAGACCGUUUACGGAUCCCCACCUUUAUCAAUACUUCAUCUAUAUUCGUAAUAUUCAGAUUGCUUUAUGAUAUUCUUGCUUGUUCUUCGAUUGCUUGCAGGAAUAGACCUUCGUGGUCAGGUUGAUUGUGCUCUGGCGUGGUCAAUAACCUCUCGGAGUUGGUUUAGCGAUUGCUAAGGCGCAACGUCGUGCAUGUUUGUAGUCGAAUCGUCAAAGUCGUCUCCACCAAAUCGAUAGUUAUCAUCUUAUCGAAAGAUCGGAACACCCCCGCCUCUAUCAAGUGGUAUCAGUUUUCAGGUUGCUCGGUGAGAAUUUCCUGUUUUUCCUAGAUUAGAUUUAUUUUCUUACCUAUUGUCCAAGAAAAAGCCACAAAACAAAAGUUAGAUCUAUUCAUCCUUUGUCCUAGCCAGACUGAGCCUUUGCAAUUUUCUUUUCAUUGUUUGCAUUAUUGAAUUAUCGGUUGCAUCGCCGUGUCGAGUUGCUGGUCUUAGUGUCUAGUUCCUUUAGAGUUUCGAGUUCUGUUCACAUUAGUCACGCAGCCGCUGCAUCAUUAUCCCAUCCGCUGUCCACCAUCCCAUCCACCAAUUUCCACCAUGUGCUACGCACUGUUUAUUGUCAUAAUCAUAGUUGAGGUCACUCACAUCUUCGCCUCAUCGAAUCUGCAUCUUAUCUAGUUUGUCUUGGAAAGAGGGAGAAAAAGAAUAUAAAGAAAAAAAAAGAGAGAAAAAAGGAAAGAAAAAAAAAGAAAAAGAGGGAGAAGAAAAAGAAAAAAAGCGUGAGAAAAAAAAGAGAGAAGAAAAAAAAAUUGGAUCUAUCUAGAAUCAAUCUCGUACCUGAAUUCGGAUUGGAAUCUGUUUUGCGCACUGUUCAGUAAAAUAGGUGUAUCUUCCUCAUACGAAGUCCGUUUUGGCUCCGUGAGUACUCAAAUUGAAGAUAGCGACGAGCCGCAUCUAAAUAGCUGCAGAAGCUAGUUCAAUAUUUGACACCUCAAAAUCGGCUCCUAAAUAGGUCUUUUUGCCCUCCGAAGUUCGUGAACACAGCUUGUUCCAAUUUUUAGGCCAGUUUUAGAAUUCUUUGACUCCUCAUAUCAACUCGGAAUUGAGUGAUUCUUUUUGCAUUGGAAAGCUUGAGUUAGUAGCAUUCUUUGAAAGAAUUUAUCAGAAAAUUGUCUCAAACUUUUCAAGAGGAAAGUUGGAGAGAGAGUUGUUGUAUAUCCUGCUUGGCAGUUGUUUUUCAUCAUUAUCUUCACUGCCGUUGUGAUCUUCACUUAUAUCUUGCUGUCAAGAGCUACUUAGUAUCCUUCAUUGAUGCUAGUUGUGCUACGCCGUGACCUCAUUAGUGUUCUACGCUCGCGUCUCUAGUCCGGUCUAGCCUAGGACCAGCACAGUACCGUCGUUGAGCGUUUAUUCAACAUUGCAUCUUUGAAUUGAUUAUUGCUAAUCUUUUGCUACCAUAUAUAGCCAACCCAGCUCCACAUAUUUCUACACCGUGUAUACGUACGCUCCCCUGGCAAUCGCUUUACUCAAUAUUCGGAGUUACUUGACACCGCUGGUUGCCGAUCACCGCCUGCUGCAUGGUAAGAACUUGUAAGACAUUGAUAUUUGCUUUACUGUGAGCGUUUUACCACCACAUCCUAGUAGUUAUAGGAACAUUAUUUUUGGGUUUUGUUUCUUGUUCUACUAAUCAUGACAGGAUCCAGAGUCAAUUCAUGGGCUUUGUCGAUCGCGGGAGACGUGCCACCACCUUUGCAAAUACCACAACCGUCACGAGAGGUGCACAAACAUCCAAAUGCACAUGAUCAAGUUAAUGUAUCUAUACCAUCAUUUAAUGGCCAUUUUAAACCUGCUUUAUAUAUUGAAUGGGAGUUCGACAUAAAAAAUAUAUUUGCUUCCCAUAAUUUCGAUGAACAUAAAAAGGUUAAGGUUGCAGUUGGUUCUUUCACUGGUUAUGCUUUGGUUUGGUGGAGUGAAUAUUGUCGGUUACACCCUGAUUAUAUACCUACUACUUGGGAUGAUUUGAAACUUGCCAUGCGACAUACUUUCGUCCCUGCUUAUUAUACUCGUGACAUGAUUAAGAAGUUGCAACACUUAAAACAAGGUAGUGAAACUGUAACAAAAUAUUAUGAUGAUUUACAAACUACCUUGUUGCAUUCCUCUUUAGAAGAAAGUGAAGAUGAUUUUAUGGAUAGAUUUUGGGGAGGAUUAAACUGUGAUAUUCAAGAGAUACUAAUUCAUGAAGAGUGUUAUCCUAUGGACCAUUUGUUUCAUCUUGCUUGCAAAGAUGAACAGGAAAUAAAACGACGUGUUGGCCACGAGGAGAACAAGCGCACGGUGCACAUUCCAAGAGUUGAUAUGAUUGUUCAUUCAACUACUAGGCAUACUAUGACAACCACAUCCGUUGUUGUCAGGACUACAUCACCUCCACCAUGUGACACAUCGCCCCCGAGAGUGGCUACAUCAUCUGAGUUGAUCAUAAGAGGUAAUGACAAAGGUACUGAUCUUCCAUCUCUACAUGAGAAUGAUGAAUGCCUUAUCAAUUUGAAUACACCAUCUGAUGAGCUACCCACUACUUUGAUCACACCACCUAUUUUAGAGGACUACGUUGAUAAUUUGACUUUGCCAUGUGAUCAAACAACUGAAAUACCAACAAUUUUGAGUGCACCCAUUAAAUUAACUAUUGAUGCAAAAUAACCAAUGUUUAAUCAUUUUGAUAUGACCUCUAAUCUUGGUGAUGAUUCUGUGUUGAAUGACUUAUUGCAUGUUUGCUUAUUUAAGCAUGUUGUAGCAUGUAAAUUUGAUGCAAGUAAGGUUUAUUCACCAAUGUUGGGAUGGUUUAAUGAUGAACAUUGUCAAUCUUUUGAAAUGAAUAAGAGCUUCACUUAUAUGUCCAAACUGAGUUGCAAUAUUUUCAUGCCUUCUACUUCUUGUGCUAAUUUUUUGGCUUUAGAUUUUAUGAACUAUGCAAGUUACUCAUCUAUUCAUGUGUCAUAUAUGCAAAAAUCAAGGGAAGUAAAAAUGAAUGACAUAUACAUAUACAACAUGUACACCUUGUCUCUUUUGUUAGCCACAUUUCAGAUUAAGCAACGCGGAGGACGGCUUUAUUUUCAAGAAGGGGAGGAUGAUGAGGACAUGACUACCUUGGAUAUGACCAAAAAUAUUGCAUAUAUGCAUAUUUGUCAGGUGAUUUCUAGUGCAAACUAUUCAAUAAUCUAUUUAUGUUAUCCAGAACAAAAAUACUUCACACACUUUUGUGUUUUGUCUAAUUGCAGGUGUAUGGGACAUUUGUACAAUCCACAUAUGAAGAUAAGGAAUAAAGAGAUGUUUAUUUGCUGUCCAAAAAGUUCUCUCACGUCACUUUUGGCCCAAGAGAAGAUAGAGUCCAGGUCUCUCACGUUCUGGAUUCAGAUUCGGACUACACAGACACACCUGACUCAAAACACACACAAGUUUUUAAUACAGACUCCGAAUUGGGUGAUUCUUUUUUGUUUGGAAACUAGAUUUCGUGCACUUUCCAACCCAAUUGGAAUCACCUUCAAAUUCGUCCGGAGCGUUGAGUUGUGGACGAAACAAUCUGAUGCUGCAGCAGAAUCCGAGUCAAACUACAAGUCCAAAGGUGUUACAUCACCUCCACUUGGGCCCAUUGGCCUUGUACGACCUAGAUUUAGUUUUAGGCUGCCUUGGGACGUCCUCCCACCUCCUUGGCCGCCACCCCUUGCUCCUAUAUAAGUAGAUCCAUCUAGUAGCUUUUCCUUGGGAUUUGUUUAGUUAAAAGUUAGCCAUUGCAACUUCGUGUACUUUGUUUGUGUCCAACGACCAGACCAAGACCGUUUACGGAUCCCCACCUUUAUCAAUACUUCAUCUAUAUUCGCAAUAUUUAGAUUGCUUUAUCAUAUUCUUGCUUGUUCUUCGAUUGCUUGCAGGAAUAGACCUUCGUGGUCAGGUUGAUUGUGCUCUGGCGUGGUCAAUAACCUCUCGGAGUUGGUUUAGCGAUUGCUAAGGCGCAACGUCGUGCACGUUUGUAGUCGAAUCGUCAAAGUCGUCUCCACCAAAUCGAUAGUUAUCAUCUCAUCGAAAGAUCGGGACACCCCCGCCUCUAUCACACUAAGACCAGCAACUCGACACGAUGAUGCAACCGACAAUUCAACUAUGCAAGCAAUGAAAAGAAAAUUGCAAAGGUUCAGACUGGCUUGGACCAAGGAUGAAUAGAUAUAACUCUUUUUUGUGGCUUUUUCUUGGACAAUAGGUAAGAAAAUAAAUCUAAUCUAGGAAAACUGGAAAUUCUCACCGAGCAACCUGAAAACUGAUACCACUUGAUAGAAGGCGGGGGUGUCCCGAUCUUUCGAUGAGAUGGUAACUAUCGAUUUGGUGGAGACGACUUUGACGAUCCGACUACAAACGUGCACGACGUUGCGCCUUAGCAAUCACUAAACCAAUCUCCAGAGGUUAUUGACCACGCCGGUGCACGAUCAACCUGACCACGAAGGUCUAUUCCUGCAAGCAAUCAAAGAACGAGUAAGAAUAUGAUAAAAGGAAUCUGAAUAUUGCAAAUAUGUAUGAAGUAUUGAUAAAGGUGGGGAUCCGAAAGCGGUCUUGGUCUGGUCGUUGGACACAAACGAAGUACACGAAGUUGCGUUGGCUAACUUUUAACUAAACAAAUCCUCACGAAAAAGCUACUAGAUGGAUCUACUUAUAUAGGAGCAAGGGGUGGCGGCCAAGGAGGUGGGAGGACGUCCCAAGGCAGCCUAAAACUAACCCUAGGUCGUACAAGGCUCAUGGGCCCAAGUGGAGGUGAUGCAGCACCUUUGGGCUUGUAGUUUGACUCGGAUUCUGCUGCAACGUUAGAUUGUUUUGUCCGUAACUCAACGCUCCGGACGAAUUUGAAGGUGAAUCCAAUUGGGUUGGAAAGAGCACGAAAUCUAGUUUCCAACAAAAAAAGAAUCACCCAAUUCGGAGUCUAUAUGAAAAAGUUGUUGGCGUUUUGAGUCAGGUAUGUCUGUGCAGUCCGAAUCUGAAUCCAGAACGUGAGAGACUUGGACUCUAUCUUCUCUUGGCCCAAAAGUGAUGUGAGAGGACUUUUUGAACACAACCUAAACUUCUCCUUUUCCCUUAUCUUCAUAUGUGGAUUGUACAAAUGUCCCAUACACCUGCAAUUAGACAAAACACAAAAGUGUGUGAAGUAUUUUUGUUCUGGAUAACAUAAAUAGAUUAUUGAAUAGUUUGCAUUAGAAAUCACCUGACAAAUAUGCAUGUAUGCAAUAUUUUUGGUCGUAUCCAAGGUAUUCAUGUCCUCAUCACCGUCCCACUUGAUUUGGAAGGCGAUGUUGUUGUUGUUGUAGAGGUGCGUUGGUGGUGGUGGUGGAAGACACGCAAGCAAUUCAUUAAACUUGUUAUCAAGCUUUGUUUCGAACAUCUUCUCCAUGCCAUCUAUCUUCUCCAUGGCCUCUUCAAAUCUGUUUAGCACAUCUUGCACCUGUCCACUAAACAUUAGCUGAAAUUUAUUAUGUAGCUCUUUGUUCGUCAUGUUCUCCCAAUCUGUCUCAUCGGCUUGUGAUCCUGCCAUGGUUAGCAGCAAUAGAAAACACACAAGAAUAUGAUCCUACAGACUACUAGGAAGUGGUGGUGGUGGUGGUGGUGGUGGUGGUGGUGUAUCACAAAUCUGGCAAGCAAAUCUCAAAUUCUUACCAGUUCUUACCCAGCAACAGGUGGUGAUCGGCAACCGUGGUAGUCAAAACUCUCCAAGAUUGGAUAGAGCGAUUGCUAGGUGGUGUCAAACGCAUGAUGUAGAUGUAUGUGUAGCUGGGAAGGCUUAUGAUAUGGUAGCAAAAAUGUCAGCAAUAAUCAAUUCAGAGAUGCAAAGUUGAGUAAACGCUCAACGACGGUACUGUGUUGGUCCUAGGCUAGAUCGUACUAGAGACGCGAGCUUAGAACACGAACAAAAUCACGGCGCGGCACGUAAACAAGGGAGGAGCACUCUUUGAAUCUUUUUUCCUUUUUUCAAUUUUUUUGCACUUGUUUUUUCCUCUCUUUUUUGCUCCGCAACAAAUUUUUUUCGAAAAAGUCUAUAAAUGGUCUAAAAGCUGCCUAGCCAGAAUUUUCCAGACUUAGUUUUUUUUGAGUUUGGAACUAUUUUUCUACUGCGGGUAGCACGGAAUCUCGGGAGUCCUACUCUGUCAUGACUCAGAGUAUGGCGUGAUCUGAAACUCGAAAACAAAGCAACAAAUACUGGACUCGGACUAGUGGCGGAGAUGAAUCUGGUGGAACUCGGACUGGUGGUAUAUCUGGACUCGGAAUGGUGGUGGUAUAUGGCGAUGGUAUAUGUGGACUCGUAUUGGUGGUGGUAUAUGGCGAUGGUAUAUGUGGACUCGGAUUGGUGGUUGUAUAUGGCAGCGGCGAUGUAUAUGGUGGGGUGGUGGUAUAUGGUAAUGCUAAUGACGAUGGUGUGGCGGCAGCGUGACAACCUGUGAACAGAACUCGAAACUCAAAGGGACUAGACGCUAAGACCAGCAACUCGACAUGACGAUGCAACCGCAAAUUCAACAAAGCAAAACUCUAAAAAGACUAUGCAAAGGCUCAGAUUGGUUCGGAUAUGAUGACCUAACCCUAAUUUUUUUGGCUUUUUCGUGGACUAUAGGUAUGAAGAACAGACUCGACCUAAACUACGAAAACUGUAAAAUCUCACCGAGCAACCUGGAAAUCUGAUACCGCUUGAUAGAGGCAAAGGUGUACCGAUGUUUCAGUGAGAUAGAUAUCAUUUUCUGUGGGAGUCGACUUUGACGAUCUGACUACAAACAUGCGAAGACGUCGCGCCUUAGCAAUCGCUAAACCAACUUCCGAGGGUUAUUGACCACGCCGGAGCACGAUCAACCUGACCACGAGAGUCUAUUUCCUGCGAGCAAACAAAGAACAAGAAAGAAACUGAUAUUGCAAUCUGGAUAUUGUGAAUAAAAGAGGAAAGUUGUAUUAAUGAAGGUGGGGUUCUGUGACAUCUUGGUCUGGUCGUUGGACACAGACGAAGUACGCGAAGUUACAGCUAUGGCGAACUUUUAGUCUAAACAAAACCCAAAGUCUAAACGAUGCCCUGAGGGUUGUAUAUAUGGAGGAGAGAGGGGGAAUUUCGUGGCCCUUGGAGGAGGGGUCCGAAACCAACCCUAACUCUUGUUUCCCCACACAUACGGACUAUAAAAACAGCCUAUACUUAAGUAUUUCGAAAAUACAUGGGACUGGCCCAAUAAUAAGGUGAUGCAGCACCUAGAAUAGCCUCUGGACGAAAUUUAUGAAGUGGCAUCUUGUAUAUUUCGUCCAAGGCUUCAUGCAUUCCUUAUGGUGGCUUCAAAGUCCUGAAAUCAUCACUUGUAACUCCGUUCAUGAUCCCCUUGCGCAUGCCAUCAUCUCCAUGCUUGAACUUGCUCCAAGGUUCAUCUUUCUUGUCCAAGCUAGGCCCUUCAUUUGUAAGCAAAACAAAUGUAUCCAAUUUAGGCCGCAUCAUAUUCUCAUGAGCAUUAGAAUCGUUACCAAGAAACGAAAGUACCUGAUAAUUCAAUUGGCGUGCGCGAGCUCUAGUAAUUGGUCCGGUGUGUAUAGCAGCAGGGGUUGUGGGUGUAACAAUGGUAUUGAUGUCCUCAUCAGCCCAGUAGCAUAGCAAUUUCCUCUUCGUAUCCAUCGCGAGUUGCUUUGAGUUCCUCUUCUAGCUCCAUAUUCCGGGUCAUCACCUUCUUCGUAUCUAUCAUGUUAGCGCACAUCUGAUUCUCAUAUCGACGAAUGUGCUGGUUCAUCUCAUGUAUGUAGGCUGUAAUAGAUCCAUCCUUCCUGGUGCAAAUCAUCUCCCAUUGCUCAUCCUAGCAUCCACAUAUCUGAUAGACGGUGUCUUUAAGAUCCUUGUUGUACACCUCGCCUAUGCAUCCAAUGGUGAUGUGGGUGGCCAUGCUCUUUCCUAAGCUCCAGGUUGGUGCAUCAAAGGAAAACUCGAUGGGCUGGGUAAUUUGUGCAAAAGCCCUCCCAGGAACACAAACUUGAAUCGUCCAGCGCUCCUUUUCUGGUAAAGUUGCAAUGAAAGUUCUGGUGAGCUUGGUAUGCCGAUGUUCAAUUGACUUCCUUCAAGUGUCGUCCGAAAGGGGUGUCGUCAUCCGGCUGAAUGAACUUGUUCCUGGGGUCCGACAUCUAUAGAGUAGAAAUAGAGAAGAAUUAGAAAUGAGUAGAGAAGAGUAUCAUGUGGCUUCUCCUAGUGGUCGCGUCCUACAGUCAGCGUGUGCUCUGAUACCAUCUUUUAGCGACCCGAUCCCAAUGGAUCAAAUUCUCUAUACUUAAUUGUCAUCCAUGGAUCCAUGCUGACACACACAGUACUCGAGGAAAUAUAACAGAGUCCAAUCACACACUUACAUUGAGGUCCUCAUAAAGAGUAUUUAUUACAAUAAUAUGGCUGAAGGCCAUUUAAUAAAAAUAACUGCGGAAGCUUCAAAGGUAAAUGAGUCCAUCCAACUCCACGUCAAAACUGAGUGCAAGACAACGACCUAUCGCACCUUAAUCCUCGUCUGAAAAUUCUGCAACAUGAGACGUUGCAGCCAUGUAGGUCAGCACAUGGAAUAUGCUGGCAAGAUCACACUAUAGAGCAAUGAUGAACAAUAACUAUCACUACAUGCAUAUUUGGCUUGUGGAGGCUCUAUGUUUAACAUUUGCAUAAAGCUAAUUUUUCCCUACAACAAAGGAAUACAUUUUUAUUUACUAGCAAGUUUAUGCCAUAAUUGAGAAGGCAUCCCCAACUCAAUCCCAAAAUUACCAAGUAAUAAUAAUAUUAAUAACAAUUACCCCACAAAUUCAUUAAGUAAAGUGAUGAGAUCAACCAAUAACUCAAAUACUAGAUACUCAAAAUGUCCAUAACCUGGGACACGGCUAAUCAUGAUUAGUUUGUACACUCUGCAGAGGUUUGCGCACUUUUCCCCACAAGACUCAACCGCAUCCAUGAUCGGAAGAUGAUGAGGACAUCAAUACAAUUGUUACACCCACAGCCCCUACUGCUAUACAUACUGGACCAAUUACUAGAGCUCGUGCACGCCAACUAAAUUACCAGGUACUUUCGUUUCUUGGUAAUGAUUCUAAUGUUCAUGAGAAUAUGAUGCUGCCUAAAUUGGAUACAUUUGUUUUGCUUACAAAUGAAGGGCCUAGCUUGGAGAAGGAUGAACAUUGGAGCAAGAACAAGCAUGGAGAUGAUGACAUGCGCAAGGGGAACAAGAACGGAGUUACAAGUGAUGAUUUCAGGACUUUGAAGCCACCAUAAUGGGUGCAUGAAGCCUUGGACGAAAUAUACAAGAUGCCACUUCAUAAAUUUCGUCCCGAGGCUAUUUUAGGUGCUGCGUCACCUUUUUAUUGGGCCAGGCCCAUGUAAUUUCGAAAUACAUAAGUAUAGGCUAUUUUUAGAGUCCGUAUGUGUGGGGAAACAAGAGAUAGGGUUGAUUUCGGACCCCUCCACCAAGGGCCACGAAAUUCCCCCCUCUUCCUCCAUAUAUACAGCCCUUAGGGCAUCGUUUAGACUUUGGGUUUUGUUUAGAUUAAAAGUUCGCCAUAGCUGCAACUUCGCGUACUUCGUUUGUGUUCAACGACCAGACAAAGGCGUCACAGAACCCCACCUUGAUCAAUAAAGCUUUCAUCUUAUAUUCGCAAUAUCCAGAUUGCAACCUCAGCUUCUUGCUUGUUCUUCGUUUGCUCGCAGGAAACAGACCCUCGUACAGGUUGAUCGUGCUCCAGCGUGGUCAAUAACCUCUCGGAGUUGGUUUAGCGAUUGCUAAGGCGCGAUGUCCUUACACGUUCGUAGUCGGAUCGUCAAAGUCGACUUCCACCAAAGCGAUAUCCAUCAUCUCAUCGAAAGACGGGACACCUUUGCCUCUAUCAAGAAGGCAUGAAAAUAUUGCAACUCAGUUUGCACAUAUAAGUGAAGCUCUUAUUCAUUUCAAAAGAUUGACAAUGUUCAUCAUUAAACCAUCCCAACAUUGGUGAAUAAACCUUACUUGCAUCAAAUUUACAUGCUACAACAUGCUUAAAUAAGCAAACAUGCAAUAAGUCAUUCAACACAGAAUCAUCACCAAGAUUAGAGGUCAUAUCAAAAUGAUUAAACAUUGGUUCUUUUGCAUCAAUAGUUAAUUCAAUGGGUGCACUCAAAAUUGUUGGUAUUUCAGUUGUUUGAUCACAUGGCAAAGUCAAAUUAUCAACGUAGUCCUCUAAAAUAGGUGGUGUGAUCAAAGUAGUGGGUAGCUCAUCAGAUGGUGCAUUCAAAUUGACAAGGCAUUCAUCAUUCUCAUGUAGAGAUGGAAGAUCAGUACCUUUGUCAUUACCUCUUAUGAUCAACUCAGAUGAUGUAGCCACUCUCGGGGGCGAUGUGUCACAUGGUGGAGGUGAUGUAGUCCUGACAACAACGGAUGUGGUUGUCAUAGUAUGCCUAGUAGUUGAAGUAACAAUCAUAUCAACUCUUGGAAUGUGCACCAUGCGCUUGUUCUCCUCGUGGCCAACACGUCGUUUUAUUUCCUGUUCAGCUUUGCAAGCAAGAUGAAACAAAUGGUCCAUAGGAUAACACUCUUCAUGAAUUAGUAUCUCUUGAAUAUCACGGUUUAAUCCUCCCCAAAAUCUAUCCAUAAAAUCAUCUUCACUUUCUUCUAAAGAGGAAUGCAACAAGGUAGUUUGUAAAUCAUCAUAAUAUUUUGUUACAGUUUCACUACCUUGUUUUAACUGUUGCAACUUCUUAAUCAUGUCACGAGUAUAAUAAGCAGGGACGAAAGUAUGUCGCAUGGCAAGUUUCAAAUCAUCCCAAGUAGUAGGUAUAUAAUCAGGGUGUAACCAACAAUAUUCACUCCACCAAACCAAAGCAUAACCAGUGAAAGAACCAACCGCAACCUUAACCUUUUUAUGUUCAUUGAAAUUAUGGGAAGCAAAUAUAUUUUUUAUGUCGAACUCCCAUUCAAUAUAUAAAGCAGGUUUAAAACGGCCAUUAAAUGGUGGUAUAGAUACAUUAACCUGAUGAUGUGCAUUUGGAUGUUUGUGCACCUCUCGUGACGGUUGUGGUAUUUGCAAAGGUGGUGGCACGUCUCCCGCGAUCGACAAAGCCCAUGAAUUGACUCUAGAUCCUGUCAUGAUUAGUAGAACAAGAAACAAAACCCAAAAAUAAUGUUCCUAUAACUACUAGGAUGUGGUGGUAAAACGCUCACAGUAAAGCAAAUAUCAAUGUCUUACAAGUUCUUACCAUGCAGCAGGCGGUGAUCGGCAACCAGCGGUGUCAAGUAACUCCGAAUAUUGAGUAAAGCGAUUGCCAGGGGAGCGUACGUAUACACGGUGUAGAAAUAUGUGGAGCUGGGUUGGCUAUAUAUGGUAGCAAAAGAUUAGCAAUAAUCAAUUCAAAGAUGCAAUGUUGAAUAAACGCUCAACGACGGUACUGUGCUGGUCCUAGGCUAGACCGGACUAGAGACGCGAGCCUAGAACACUAAUAAGGUCACGGCGUAGCACAACUAGCACCAAUGAAGGAUACUAAGUAGCUCUUGACAGCAAGAUAUAAGUGAAGAUCACAACGGCAGUGAAGAUAAUGAUGAAAAACAACUGCCAAGCAGGAUAUAUAACAACUCUCUCUUCAACUUUCCUCUUGAAAAGUUUGCUACUAACUCAAGCUUUCCAAUGCAAAAAGAAUCACCCAAUUCUGAAUUGAUAUGAGGAGUCAAAGAAUUUUAAAACUGGCCUGAAAAAUUGGAACAAGUUGUGUUCACGAACUUCGGAGAGCAAAAAGACAUAUUUGGAAGACGAUUUUGAGGUGUCAAAUAUUGAACUAGCUUCUGCAACUAUUUACAUGCAUCUCGUCGCUAGCUUCAAUUUGAGUACUCACGGAGCCAAAACGGACUUCAUAUGAGGAAGAUACACCUGUUUUACUGAACAGUGCGCAAAAUAGAUUCUAAUCCAAAUUCAGGUACGAGAUUGAUUCUAGAUAGAUCUGAUUUUUUUCUUCUUCUCUCUUUUUUUCCUCACGCUUUUUUUUUCUUUUUCUUCUCUCUCUUUUUCUUUUUUUUUUCUUUCCUUUUUUUCUCUCUUUUUUCUCUCUUUUUUUUCUCCCUCUUUCCAAGACAAACUAGAUAAGAUGCAGAUUGGAUCAGGCAAAGAUGUGAAUGACCUCAACUAUGAUUAUGACAAUGAACAACGCGUAGCACGUGGUGGAAAUUAAUAGAUGGGAUGGUGGACAGCGGAAGGGAUAAUGAUGCAGCGGCGGCGUGACUAAUGUGAACAGAACUCGAAACUCUAAAGGAACUAGACACUAAGACCAGCAACUGACACGACGAUGCAACCGAUAAUUCAACUAUGCAAGCAACGAAUAGAAAAUUGCAAAGGCUCAGACUGGCUUGGAUAAAGGAUGAACAGAUCUAACUUUUUUUUGUGGCUUUUUCAUGAACUAUAGGUAUGAAUGACAGAUGCGAUGUAAACUAUGAAAAACUGUAAAAUCUCACCGAGCAACCUGAAAACUGAUACCACUUGAUAGAGGC
RNAcentral lists this long non-coding RNA (25393 nucleotides) under Triticum aestivum (bread wheat). RNAcentral's name for it is "long non-coding RNA (TAES_LNC005427)". The record is from RNAcentral. Lineage: Eukaryota; Viridiplantae; Streptophyta; Magnoliopsida; Poales; Poaceae.